AGUUUGAUGGAUUUAUGUCACGCUAAUUUAUUGAAUAGUUUCCUAAUAUUAUACUAUAAGUCUAAAUCACCGACUGUUUCUAGUGCAAGUGAUAAAGAGCUUAACAGUUACUAUCCGAAAUCUUAAGUUCGAAUUUUAGUUGAUUUACAUUUUCAGAUAAGUUUUUUUCUAAAAUAAAUAAACAAAACAGAUAGCAUACUACUUUUCUCUAAUAAAAAAAAAAAGU
RNAcentral lists this long non-coding RNA (226 nucleotides) under Ananas comosus (pineapple). RNAcentral describes it as "long non-coding RNA (ACOM_LNC007935)". Lineage: Eukaryota; Viridiplantae; Streptophyta; Magnoliopsida; Poales; Bromeliaceae. The record is from RNAcentral.